CUUCUUUUACCUGGGAAGAAACCUCAAUUUUCUAAUUGAGUUGACGGUACCAGAGGAAUAAGCACCGGCUAACUCCGUGCCAGCAGCCGCGGUAAUACGGAGGGUGCAAGCGUUAUCCGGAUUUACUGGGUUUAAAGGGUGUGUAGGCGGGUCUUUAAGUCAGUGGUGAAAUCUCCGAGCUCAACUUGGAAACUGCCAUUGAUACUAUUGAUCUUGAAUUUUGUUGAGGUAGGCGGAAUAAGUCAUGUAGCGGUGAAAUGCAUAGAUAUGACUUAGAACACCAAUUGCGAAGGCAGCUUACUAAACAAAUAUUGACGCUGAGGCACGAAAGCGUGGGGAUCAAACAGGAUUAGAUACCCUGGUAGUCCACGCCCUAAACGAUGAUUACUCGACAUACGCGAUACACAGUGUGUGUCUGA
This 419-nucleotide ribosomal RNA is filed under the name uncultured Bacteroidota bacterium. Its description in RNAcentral is "bacterial SSU rRNA". It matches the Rfam family "Bacterial small subunit ribosomal RNA", at positions 430 to 850 of the family's 1533-position model. Lineage: Bacteria; Pseudomonadati; Bacteroidota. The record is from RNAcentral.